AAUCCACCUCUGCAUGUGAUCAUCUGCAUGUGACUCCUUGAACUAUGGCAGCCAGCUGGAGCCAUGAAGUAAGCCACCCUAACAUGACUGGCAGAAACAUGGAGAGACAGGGUUUCACCAUAAUGGCCAGGCUGCUCUCCACCUCCUGGGCUCAAGCGAUCCACCCACCUCAGCCUCCCAAAAUGCUGGGAUUACAGGCAUGAGCCAUGGUUCCCCUCCAUCAUCAGUCUUAUAGUUAAAUAGACUUCAAAAGAAUGGAAGUGGCUCAGAUCCCUCACAACUUCCAAGAGACCUUGAUUUCUCAUCCCAUUGGCCCUUCUAAUAGAGCUAUUGGCAUUCACAUCCUAUUUUCAGCCCAAAUGUCAGUUGCUGGAGUACAAAGGCAGUGGCUGCUUCAGAUGCUUCAGACUGAAACUGCUCUUUGCCAUUCUCAUGGACACUGGAGAGUUAAGUUUGGUUAAAUUGAUGGCUUUUUCUUUUAAAAAAGAAAGAAUACACAUAUACCUUUGUGUACACACAAGCUAGGAAACAUCAAUCUAAUACAUGGAUGGCAAGAAAAACCAGAUCUAGCUCAUGCCAGUUACAACGGUCUGUGAAGACAAAAAGAUUUCUUCAGAUUUAUUUCUCAGCCAAUUUGUGCUUUUCUUAGGGAGAAAUUAAAAGUUUGUUAAAUA
This 674-nucleotide non-coding RNA is filed under the name Pongo abelii (Sumatran orangutan). Lineage: Eukaryota; Metazoa; Chordata; Mammalia; Primates; Hominidae. The record is from RNAcentral.